CGGGUGAGUAACGCGUGAGCAACCUGCCUUCGAGAGGGGAAUAGCACCUGGAAACGGGUGGUAAUACCGCAUAAGCCAGGAAUACCGCAUGGUAUAACUGGAAAAGGAGCAAUCCGCUUGAAGAUGGGCUCGCGCCCGAUUAGAUAGUUGGUGAGGUAACGGCUCACCAAGUCGACGAUCGGUAGCCGGACUGAGAGGUUGAACGGCCACAUUGGGACUGAGACACGGCCCAG
Molecule: ribosomal RNA, 233 nt
Filed under: uncultured bacterium
Lineage: Bacteria
Description: partial 16S ribosomal RNA
Rfam family: Bacterial small subunit ribosomal RNA
Source: RNAcentral